UAAGGCGGUUAUAGCGACGGGGCUCACCUCUUACCUUUCCGAACAGAGAAGUUAAGCCCGUUAGCGCCGAUGGUACUGCACCCGUGGGAGAGUAGGUCGUCGCCUUUU
Molecule: ribosomal RNA, 108 nt
Organism: Mangrovimonas sp. DI 80
Lineage: Bacteria; Pseudomonadati; Bacteroidota; Flavobacteriia; Flavobacteriales; Flavobacteriaceae
Source: Rfam